RNAcentral lists this long non-coding RNA (1228 nucleotides) under Anas platyrhynchos (mallard). Its description in RNAcentral is "lncRNA (ENSAPLG00020000386.1)". The record is from RNAcentral. Lineage: Eukaryota; Metazoa; Chordata; Aves; Anseriformes; Anatidae.
CAAGGAUGACCAGCUACGUCUGAACCAUGAGUUGCCUUCAGCAAAAAGUGGAAAGUAUUUGAGCACUGACAAUUCUGUGAAACCUCCCCUGUAACGAGGCUCAUCCAGGCAGAACCAGUCCGUGUCCCCUUUGAGCAAAAGGGAAUUCCCUGGCUGUAUUCCCAACUGGAGCUGAAGCUAGGCUUGGAACAGGAACCUACCUCUCAUACCUGCUGUACUUGGUGCACCUGGGCACGUGAGUGAAGCAGCAAAAACUGAGAAUGUGAGUUGCUUUGUUAUGGGUUAGCCUAAACCACGCUGGGUUGAAGAUUGUGGAGUAUCGUGUACCACAUGUCAUAAAUCUAAAUUCUUGUACAUAGAACACUCUUUUUUUUUCUUUUUUUUUCUCCCCCUCCUUAGAGGGAAAUUACAGUCUGGGGGAGUUGAUGGCUUCUAGUUUGGAUCAGGUACAGCUGCUAAAUUGUUACAGACACAAACACGCACACACCCUUAGUAAGCCUGAAACAUUUCCUUGAUGUAAGUUUCUGUGGUCUGUUUUUUGAAAGUUCUAGUUUUGUUAGUUUACUACUGACCCGAAAUCUCAGCAUUUUCAUGGUGCCCUCUUACAGAGGCAAACGAGUCGCUGAGCCACUUCCUCUCACCUGGCAGCCCAGAGAGGAGCUGGAUCUGGCCUGGAGGUCCGUGAGGACUGACCCUGGAAAGGUCCCGUCAUCUCCUUCACUACAGAAGCAAACUCCAGAGUUGGCCCAGGUGUGUGAUGCCAAGACACUGGAAAUGUGAUGGGCGCAGUGUUACUUGCUGGAGGCUGAGCUUCUCUGGGGUGCACACCACUUGGAGACGUGGGGAUUGCCAAACAGAGGAAAGCUGGAGAUUUGCACUGUAAGAAAUAAUGAGAAAUGUUACUGAAUGGGCUGUUUGUGGUGUUUUAGACAGAUCAAACACAGUAUUUGUUGAAAUGAGCAUGAGGGACUCGCAACAAGUAUCCUUCUUUAGAUCCACCUACUGAGUAUCAGCUCCAGUAUUCUCUCUCCUUGCACAAGAAAGUAUAUGGUGAUCUGUGGAGAGGUGCAAUCAACAUAGCCCAGAAGUUCUGAGCUGGAGUUGUUUGCAGAAUGAUGAUAUUACCAAGAGAAAUGUAGUAUUUGCAUGUUUUAUCUCUCUCUUUUUUUUUUUUUAAUGAUCAAACACAAAAAUUUCCACACAACUUCUCGUAAGGAAAUCCAGCACU